AGGUUUUGGAAUUAUUGCUACAUCGAGACCAUUUAGAUUCGGUUGUUGUGGUACCAUUAAAAAAUGGCGAGCUGUAACGAAAGGCCCCGGGGAAGUAAUAUUCCAAGUAUGGAGACAUUCCGACAAGAAAAACCAUUACAUUCUGAUGGGACAGAACCGUGUCAAGUGUAAGCAACUUUACAUAAGAAUUAGGAGAUGUGGUAUGAUUGCCAAUGAGGCAAAUAUCUACCUAAGUUCAAAUUUAGUGGAGAUUUCAAUUUCACAAUUCACUUUAUUUUCGAUAGAAUAAUCGUACUACAAAGGUAAAGAUUGCAAGAAUGCAGUUCCAAAUUAAUUGUAUUUCAAAGUUAGCGUGAUUUUCGUUUUAAUAUACUUUUUAUACACUUUGGAUAUGCUUGUAGAUCAUAGCAUUGUUGUUUAUAUCAUUUGUCAGUAUAAAAAUGACAACGUCUUGGAAAAACAUACAGUGAUAGCAUUAUAAGAGAAGAAAUAAAAAAAAAAAAUGAAAUGUUCUUAAAUGUAGUUUUCUGAAUAUUGAAACUUUUUUUUGAGUUGUGCAUUUGUAAUUCUAUCCUCUUGUUUGUCUUGUUGGUCUAUUUCACAUUAUACUGUUACUAUUGAGAAAAAAAAUACCAGAAUAAGUAGAUCUUGUUUUGAUAAGCAGCAUUUCUAUUUUGAAAAGAGGGUGCGGAAGAUACCAGAGGGACAGUCAAACUCAUCGAUCGAAACUAAACUGACAACGCCAUGGCUAAAAAUGAAAAAAACAAACAUACAAACAAUAGUACACAAGACACAACAUAGAAAAAGACUUAAGCAACACGAACUCCAUCUCAUAACUUGGGCUGAUCUCAGGUGGUCUGAAAGGGUGAUCAGAUCCUGCUCCACAUGUGGCACCCGUCGUGUUUCUCAUGUAGAGGUUAUUUCACAGUUUUCUAUCCUAUAUUUAUCAUGUCAUUUAUUAUGUUGUUUAUCAUUUCUUACAGUCGAUAAGGCUGGGGAUACAACAGUGGACAUACCACAAAGCGAAAGAAUUUCCGUUAACAAGGGUGACUACAUAGGAUGGUA
Molecule: long non-coding RNA, 1065 nt
Filed under: Mytilus galloprovincialis (Mediterranean mussel)
Lineage: Eukaryota; Metazoa; Mollusca; Bivalvia; Mytilida; Mytilidae
Source: RNAcentral